This 568-nucleotide unclassified non-coding RNA is filed under the name Bactrocera latifrons. RNAcentral describes it as "uncharacterized LOC108977398, transcript variant X2". The record is from RNAcentral. Lineage: Eukaryota; Metazoa; Arthropoda; Insecta; Diptera; Tephritidae.
UGUUCUUAUAACUAUUUUUCGAAGAGCGAAUCUAAUUUUUACACAAUUGGAAAGAGCCCUGGAAAGCAUACGGCUGAAAAGAAAUUGAUGGAAACAAAAAUUGAGAAUCACUUCAUCGAUGUCGGAACGAUAAGCAAAGGUGGUAUUUUCGGACUUGGUGAGACAAUGAAAUAUCGUAUUAUAAUGGCCGAAACUAGGGUUCAGUGUUUAGUUAUACCGAGAUAUUGGUUAUUUAAAGAUGAACAAAAUCCAGCUAAUAUGUGGCAAAGAAAAAAGAUUCAAUUAGAUUUUACAUUACCAUCCAGAGAAGCUCUUUUCAGUUUGUUCCAAAAUUCACGCUAAUGGCAGAAUGUUAAAAAAGGAAUUGUAUCUUCAUUUAGAACGUCUGAAACGAAACUACAAAAUAUUCCAAUAAUGGGCCGUAUUAUGUCGAGCGACCAAUAAAAUUAAACCAUGAUUUUAUACUAAUAAAUACAAAUCGUUUUAUAUAAGAUGUAAUAAUCCGAUUUCAUUCACCGAUACAUAUAACCUGGACAAAUUUAAACAUCUUAUAAAAACUGUGAUAAGU